AGAGUUUGAUCCUGGCUCAGAUUGAACGCUGGCGGCAUGCCUUACACAUGCAAGUCGAACGGGCUUUGGGGCUUGCUCCAAAGUUAGUGGCGAACGGGUGAGUAAUAUAUCGGAACGUACCCUUGAGUGGGGGAUAACAUAGCGAAAGUUAUGCUAAUACCGCAUACGAUCUAAGGAUGAAAGUGGGGACCGCAAGGCCUCACGCUCCUGGAGCGGCCGAUAUCUGAUUAGCUAGUUGGUGAGGUAAAGGCUCACCAAGGCUUCGAUCAGUAGCUGGUCUGAGAGGACGAUCAGCCACACUGGGACUGAGACACGGCCCAGACUCCUACGGGAG
Molecule: ribosomal RNA, 334 nt
Filed under: uncultured bacterium
Lineage: Bacteria
Description: bacterial SSU rRNA
Rfam family: Bacterial small subunit ribosomal RNA
Source: RNAcentral